AACGUUGGCGUCUUUGCUCUUCAUCUUCCAGGGGUGAUACAGGCAUCCCUCAUCCCCUCUUUUAGCUGGACUGCUGGGAGGAAGGCGCAGCAGGAGCUCUGCACCUCAUCCUGGGCCUGACUCAGCAGUCUAGAAGUAGAUAGAUAAAUGGCAAGCAAAAAGCGUGAAAUCCAGCUACAGUCAGUCAUCAAUAGUCAGAACUGUGGGAUGAGAUGUUGCUGAACAAAGGCCUAACAGUGAUUGAUGUUUACCAAGCCUGGUGUGGACCUUGCAAAGCCGUGCAAGCUUUAUUCAGAAAACUGAAAAAUGAACUGAAUGAAGAUGAGAUUCUUCACUUCGCGGUUGCUGAAGCUGACAGCAUUGUGACUCUGCAACAUUUAGAGAUAAAUGUGAGCCUAUGUUUCUCUUUAGUCUUAAUGGUAAAAUUAUUGCAAAGAUUCGGGGUGCAAAUGCACCACUUAUCAAUAGAAAGGUCAUUGGCUUGAUAGAAGAAGAGAGGAAAGUUGUAGCAGGUGAAAUGGCUCGUCCUCAGUAUGUGGAAAUUCCACUAGUUGAUGAAUCUGAAGAAGAGCUGGGGGAAGGACAGUAUGAAAGUGUUGG
This is a long non-coding RNA of Peromyscus leucopus (white-footed mouse), 600 nucleotides long. RefSeq lists it as uncharacterized. The transcript is spliced from 7 exons. The record is from RefSeq and is a predicted model, not a curated record. NCBI's taxonomy places the organism in Eukaryota, Metazoa, Chordata, Mammalia, Rodentia, Cricetidae.